AGUGAACGCUGGCGGUAGGCCUAACACAUGCAAGUCGAACGGCAGCACAGUAAGAGCUUGCUCUUACGGGUGGCGAGUGGCGGACGGGUGAGGAAUACAUCGGAAUCUACUUUUUCGUGGGGGAUAACGUAGGGAAACUUACGCUAAUACCGCAUACGACCUACGGGUGAAAGCAGGGGAUCUUCGGACCUUGCGCGAUUGAAUGAGCCGAUGUCGGAUUAGCUAGUUGGCGGGGGAAAGGCCCACCAAGGCGACGAUCCGUAGCUGGUCUGAGAGGAUGAUCAGCCACACUGGAACUGAGACACGGUCCAGACUCCUACGGGAGGCAGCAGUGGGGAAUAUUGGACAAUGGGCGCAAGCCUGAUCCAGCCAUACCGCGUGGGUGAAGAAGGCCUUCGGGUUGUAAAGCCCUUUUGUUGGGAAAGAAAAGCGGCAGGUUAAUACCCCGCUGUUCUGACGGUACCCAAAGAAUAAGCACCGGCUAACUUCGUG
This 492-nucleotide ribosomal RNA is filed under the name uncultured bacterium. Its description in RNAcentral is "partial 16S ribosomal RNA". It matches the Rfam family "Bacterial small subunit ribosomal RNA", at positions 29 to 507 of the family's 1533-position model. The record is from RNAcentral.